RNAcentral lists this ribosomal RNA (492 nucleotides) under uncultured bacterium. RNAcentral describes it as "partial 16S ribosomal RNA". It matches the Rfam family "Bacterial small subunit ribosomal RNA", at positions 29 to 507 of the family's 1533-position model. The record is from RNAcentral.
AGUGGACGCUGGCGGUAGGCCCAACACAUGCAAGUCGAACGGCAGCACAGUAAGAGCUUGCUCUUACGGGUGGCGAGUGGCGGACGGGUGAGGAAUACAUCGGAAUCUACUUUUUCGUGGGGGAUAACGUAGGGAAACUUACGCUAAUACCGCAUACGACCUACGGGUGAAAGCAGGGGAUCUUCGGACCUUGCGCGAUUGAAUGAGCCGAUGUCGGAUUAGCUAGUUGGCGGGGUAAAGGCCCACCAAGGCGACGAUCCGUAGCUGGUCUGAGAGGAUGAUCAGCCACACUGGAACUGAGACACGGUCCAGACUCCUACGGGAGGCAGCAGUGGGGAAUAUUGGACAAUGGGCGCAAGCCUGAUCCAGCCAUACCGCGUGGGUGAAGAAGGCCUUCGGGUUGUAAAGCCCUUUUGUUGGGAAAGAAAAGCAGCAGGUUAAUACCCCGCUGUUCUGACGGUACCCAAAGAAUAAGCACCGGCUAACUUCGUG